RNAcentral lists this long non-coding RNA (386 nucleotides) under Ananas comosus (pineapple). Its description in RNAcentral is "long non-coding RNA (ACOM_LNC042026)". The record is from RNAcentral. Lineage: Eukaryota; Viridiplantae; Streptophyta; Magnoliopsida; Poales; Bromeliaceae.
UAGCUUCAAGUAUAUAUCACUCCCGUGGUUUCGCAUUUUCUUAUUUUAGUAUUCUGUGGUUUAAAGUGUAUCAAAUUAAUGUUCUGUGGUUCCUUUAUAUCUUUUCGUCAGCUUUUUAGUUAAUAUUUUGUUAAAUUAUAUAAAAAAAAAAAAUUCAGAUACUCUAUCUAAGUUUAUCAAAUAUUCACUGUAGUUCUCUUUAAUUUUAACUUUGUUACUGAUUUAACGAAAAAAAUUUGUGAAAUCCAUAAUAAAGAAAUAAAAAUGAAAUCACAGGAUACUAAAUUAAUACAUUUUAAAUCAUAAAAUCCUAAAAUGAGAAAGUGUGAAACUAUAUAAAUGAUAUUAAAGUUUUCAUAAAAGAAUUACAAACCUACGUAUUACAG